Long non-coding RNA from Tachysurus fulvidraco (yellow catfish), 979 nucleotides. RefSeq lists it as uncharacterized. The record is from RefSeq and is a predicted model, not a curated record. Lineage: Eukaryota; Metazoa; Chordata; Actinopteri; Siluriformes; Bagridae. The transcript is spliced from 2 exons.
CAAACAUUUCCAGUAUAAUUUAGUGUAAAAACUACUGUUACGUCCAAAGACGUAUAUUUUGUCUUGUCUUGUGGUUGCUGUUGUCUCCUGCUCUCCUGUGGCUCCUCCCACUGUCUUCUCUCAGGUCACCUAAUUGCUUCCUCCCAGCUGCGCCUGUUUACCAACCGGAAGGAAAGGAGUUUAAAAGCAGAGCAGAAGGUUCUGUCAGCGAGACCUUUUUUCUCCAAGAGCAUGAUCCGUGUUCUGCCCAGCCCGGCGUAUGGAAUUCAAUGUUGGGCUUAUUAUCCAAUGUUAUAGUGAUCAGUGACUUUGGUUCUUAUUGUUCUUUUGUUAUCGUGUGUAAUUUUGGGAACGGUAGGGAGGAUUAUACACGACCACAGCCUCAAGGGUUUGACUGCAACACCAUCAGAAAUCUCCCUGUAAUGGAUUCAAGAUGGGAUUGAAUUAAAUCAUGUGCUGCUGAAGGCUGUUUAUCCAAUUACUGCUUGACCCUUUAUACUCAUUUUAGUCACAAUAUGUUCUAUAUGUAUGGUAUUUUAAUGAUAAAGCAAACUGCACUCAUAAGUGUUUAUCAACCAUCGAAAUCAGCUGCUUUUAAUAGAAUGCGCUGUAUGAUGAGUUUCCUGUUAUAAUUACUAAUUAGGUGCUUAGCAAGUGAUAAGCAGUCUAAUGGCUUUUUGUCAGAAUGUGAGACCGCAAACACUGGACUCUAAAAUGUAUAAAGGCUAACAGUGAUGCUAACAUGAGGAACGAUGUUGCAUGAGUUUCCUAUUGUUAGUUCUGCUCCAGUAAUCUGAUCGCUCCAGCAGUUUUACUGUGUAUAUAUGAAGUGUUUAUAUAUCGAUUAUUUGGGAAAAUUUACUAUUGAGGAUUAUCGCUUUUGGCUUGUAAGGUGCCGAGGAAAAGGAAGAAAGUACACCAAUUUCACAAGAAGCACCUUUAAAAGAAAUGAUAAUAAAAAAAAUUAUAUUAUAUUAUA